This 1103-nucleotide long non-coding RNA is filed under the name Oryctolagus cuniculus (rabbit). Its description in RNAcentral is "lncRNA (ENSOCUG00000033904.1)". The record is from RNAcentral. Lineage: Eukaryota; Metazoa; Chordata; Mammalia; Lagomorpha; Leporidae.
ACUACUGAGUUUCUCUGUGUAAGUCUUAAUUGUGUUUGUCCUUCAAGACAUAUAGCAUAUGCAAUGUUUUAGAGUAUGAUAGAGCAGAGGAAGACUAAGAGAGCCCUGGUGAAGUCCCAGAUGUGACAGAGCUUCAAGUCUGGAUGCAACUACUAGAAAUUUGUUGAGCUGAUACUCUAGAAAUAUUUUUUUUUAAUUUCACCUAAACUUAGUCUGCCUCUAUAAAACUGAUUUACAUUAAAUGAUUUUAUAAGCAAAUCAGAUAAGUCAGAUGUCAAUUUAGGAAAGGGAAUAUUUCAUUAAAAAAUGCAGGUCAGUUAUUUACAUUCAGGAUUUGGCACACUUUUCCAGGGAGAAUAUCUACUCCAGUAUCACUCCAUGAAGUCAGGGUCUGUGUGUAAUAUUUGUCAAAUGUCUCAGAGUGGAACACUGUACAUUGCACUAAAAGUUGUCAUUGUUGCCAUCAUUUUCUUCAUUGUCAUCACCUUUCCCCUUCUCUUCUACUUCUCCUCUGCUUUCUAUUCCUACUUUUUAUCUCAAUGUAAGGAAACUAAAUAAAUUACACAGAAUCUGUUGAAAUUUUUAAACAAGAUUUAUUUAUUUAUUUGAAAGGGAGAGGGGAUGGGGUCGGGGGGGGAGAGAGAGAAACAGAGAGAGAGAGAGAGAGAGAGAGAGAAACAGAAACAGAGAUCCUCUACUGGUUCACCCCUCAAAUGACCACAACAUUCAGAUCUAGGCAAGGUUGAAACCAGGCGUCAGCAACUCUGUUCUGGUUUCCCACGUGGGUGUCAGUGGCCCAUGUACUUGAAUAAUUUUUUGUUGCCUUUCCAGGCACAUUAGCAGGAAGCUAGAUUGUAAGGGUAGCAGCUGAGAACUGAACCUGAAUUUCUAUAAAAGAUGCCAGUGUAACAAGUGGUGGCUUAAUCCAUUGCACCACAAUGCCAGUUCCUCUCUAACUAAAAAAAUUCCUUAAUUUUAUUUAUUUGAAAGGCAGAGAGACAGCAAGACACAGAGACAGAUAGAUAGAGAUAGAGAUAGUCUACCCACUAGUUCACUCCUCAAAUGUCCCCAAUAGCUAGGGCUGAGCCAGGUCAAAGUCAAGA